GCGGAAACCCUUCUUUCUCCUGUUUACUGCUUUGGUUUGCUGUUGGCUUAGAAACCGAAUGUUCAAGCCUGUUAAAAAGAUUAAGGCUUCUCCAGGCUUGCAGAAAGUACAGUGAAUGCUAUUACCGGGAUGUUUUCAGAGGCACUGUUCCCACCUGUCUCUACCAUACUCUUGGCAUCUCCAUCAUCUACUUUAACACGACACCCUCUUUUUUAGGGUGUUCUGGAACCAGAGGUAUACCAGAAGAGUGACUCUUGUGAUAAGAAUUUCAAAUAUGGUGAUCACCAUUGGGGAUGCUGGCGGCCGUGAGGAUCUGUAGGGCUUCCGACUGCGAGACGCGCAGCACGCCGCUGUACAUGAAGUCAAUGAGC
Molecule: long non-coding RNA, 371 nt
Organism: Lynx canadensis (Canada lynx)
Lineage: Eukaryota; Metazoa; Chordata; Mammalia; Carnivora; Felidae
Exons: 4
Source: RefSeq, a predicted model, not a curated record